UUUCUUUUUAAUACAAUUUUCCUUUGACCAUAUGAUUAAUUAUGAAUGUAGAAAUGAAAAUCAGAUAUGGCUACGUAGCAAGACCAUCAUGGAGGGAGUGUUGCAACUUGUAAGCAAUUAAAGAAAUUGUAUCGGGCGUCAUCAUAAGAACAUCAAGCAAGACCUACAGUCUUUAAAUUGAGUGUUCAGGUUUUCAUUCAAGAUAUUAGGAAUAGCUUCAGUGUAAGUCGCUUUGAUGCAUUAUUUUUAAAUUUAUUGUGUAGUUUCUAGAGACAAAAAGAAGACAAAUCAUGGAAGCGAUCUUUCUUAUUAG
This 313-nucleotide unclassified non-coding RNA is filed under the name Hevea brasiliensis (rubber tree). The record is from RNAcentral. Lineage: Eukaryota; Viridiplantae; Streptophyta; Magnoliopsida; Malpighiales; Euphorbiaceae.